This 301-nucleotide ribosomal RNA is filed under the name uncultured bacterium. RNAcentral's name for it is "partial 16S ribosomal RNA". It matches the Rfam family "Bacterial small subunit ribosomal RNA", at positions 509 to 807 of the family's 1533-position model. The record is from RNAcentral.
CAGCAGCCACGGUAAUACGUAGGGCGCAAGCGUUGUCCGGAAUUAUUGGGCGUAAAGAGCUCGUAGGCGGUCUGUCGCGUCUGGUGUGAAAUCCCGAGGCUCAACCUCGGGCUUGCAUCGGGUACGGGCAGACUAGAGUGCGGUAGGGGAGACUGGAAUUCCUGGUGUAGCGGUGGAAUGCGCAGAUAUCAGGAGGAACACCGAUGGCGAAGGCAGGUCUCUGGGCCGCAACUGACGCUGAGGAGCGAAAGCAUGGGGAGCGAACAGGAUUAGAUACCCCUGUAGUCCCUGUCUCUUAUAC